ACUCCCUCUGUCCCUAUUUAGUUGUCCACUUUAGAAAUGGCACACAGAUUAAUGCAACAAUGAUUAGUAUAGUGAAGUUACAAUUUUACCCUUAUAGUACAAUUUACAAUUCCAAAAUAAAUUCACUCAAGAUAACUAAUCAAUGCUAGGAAGUUCAUAAGUUUAUUUACUUUAUUUAUGACAACUUUAUUUAAAUAAGGGUAUAAUAGGAAAAAAAUUGUUGUCUUUUCUUGAUUUGUCAAAAUGGACAACUAAAUAGGGACAACUAAAAGAGGAAAUAUGGACAACUAAAUAGGGACGGAGGGAGUAUUA
This 312-nucleotide long non-coding RNA is filed under the name Solanum tuberosum (potato). RNAcentral describes it as "long non-coding RNA (STUB_LNC000559)". Lineage: Eukaryota; Viridiplantae; Streptophyta; Magnoliopsida; Solanales; Solanaceae. The record is from RNAcentral.